GGGUUGUGAGGUUAAGCGACUAAGCGUACACGGUGGAUGCCCUGGCAGUCAGAGGCGAUGAAGGACGUGCUAAUCUGCGAAAAGCGUCGGUAAGGUGAUAUGAACCGUUAUAGCCGGCGAUGUCCGAAUGGGGAAACCCAGUGCAAUUCGUUGCACUAUCGUUAACUGAAUACAUAGGUUAACGAGGCGAACCGGGGGAACUGAAACAUCUAAGUACCCCGAGGAAAAGAAAUCAACCGAGAUUCCCCCAGUAGCGGCGAGCGAACGGGGAGCAGCCCAGAGUCUGAAUCAGCUUGUGUGUUAGUGGAACGGUCUGGAAAGUCCGACGGUACAGGGUGAUAGUCCCGUACACCAAAAUGCACAGGUUGUGAACUCGAAGAGUAGGGCGGGACACGUGGUAUCCUGUCUGAAUAUGGGGGGACCAUCCUCCAAGGCUAAAUACUCCUGACUGACCGAUAGUGAACCAGUACCGUGAGGGAAAGGCGAAAAGAACCCCGGCGAGGGGAGUGAAAAAGAACCUGAAACCGUGUACGUACAAGCAGUGGGAGCACCUUCGGGUGUGACUGCGUACCUUUUGUAUAAUGGGUCAGCGACUUAUAUUCUGUAGCAAGGUUAACCGUAUAGGGGAGCCGCAGGGAAACCGAGUCUUAACUGGGCGUUAAGUUGCAGGGUAUAGACCCGAAACCCGGUGAUCUAGCCAUGGGCAGGUUGAAGGUUGGGUAACACUAACUGGAGGACCGAACCGACUAAUGUUGAAAAAUUAGCGGAUGACUUGUGGCUGGGGGUGAAAGGCCAAUCAAACCGGGAGAUAGCUGGUUCUCCCCGAAAGCUAUUUAGGUAGCGCCUCGUGAACUCAUCUUCGGGGGUAGAGCACUGUUUCGGCUAGGGGGUCAUCCCGACUUACCAACCCGAUGCAAACUACGAAUACCGAAGAAUGUUAUCACGGGAGACACACGGCGGGUGCUAACGUCCGUCGUGAAGAGGGAAACAACCCAGACCGCCAGCUAAGGUCCCAAAGUCAUGGUUAAGUGGGAAACGAUGUGGGAAGGCACAGACAGCCAGGAUGUUGGCUUAGAAGCAGCCAUCAUUUAAAGAAAGCGUAAUAGCUCACUGGUCGAGUCGGCCUGCGCGGAAGAUGUAACGGGGCUAAACCAUGCACCGAAGCUGCGGCAGCGACACGAUGUGUUGUUGGGUAGGGGAGCGUUCUGUAAGCCUGCGAAGGUGACCUGUGAGGGUUGCUGGAGGUAUCAGAAGUGCGAAUGCUGACAUAAGUAACGAUAAAGCGGGUGAAAAGCCCGCUCGCCGGAAGACCAAGGGUUCCUGUCCAACGUUAAUCGGGGCAGGGUGAGUCGACCCCUAAGGCGAGGCCGAAAGGCGUAGUCGAUGGGAAACAGGUUAAUAUUCCUGUACUUGGUGUUACUGCGAAGGGGGGACGGAGAAGGCUAUGUUAGCCGGGCGACGGUUGUCCCGGUUUAAGCAUGUAGGCUGGUUAUCCAGGCAAAUCCGGAUAAUCAAGGCUGAGGUGUGAUGACGAGGCACUACGGUGCUGAAGUAACAAAUGCCCUGCUUCCAGGAAAAGCCUCUAAGCAUCAGGUAACAUCAAAUCGUACCCCAAACCGACACAGGUGGUCAGGUAGAGAAUACCAAGGCGCUUGAGAGAACUCGGGUGAAGGAACUAGGCAAAAUGGUGCCGUAACUUCGGGAGAAGGCACGCUGGUGUGUAGGUGAAGUCCCUGCGGAUGGAGCUGAGACCAGUCGAAGAUACCAGCUGGCUGCAACUGUUUAUUAAAAACACAGCACUGUGCAAACACGAAAGUGGACGUAUACGGUGUGACGCCUGCCCGGUGCCGGAAGGUUAAUUGAUGGGGUUAUCCGUAAGGAGAAGCUCUUGAUCGAAGCCCCGGUAAACGGCGGCCGUAACUAUAACGGUCCUAAGGUAGCGAAAUUCCUUGUCGGGUAAGUUCCGACCUGCACGAAUGGCGUAAUGAUGGCCAGGCUGUCUCCACCCGAGACUCAGUGAAAUUGAACUCGCUGUGAAGAUGCAGUGUACCCGCGGCAAGACGGAAAGACCCCGUGAACCUUUACUAUAGCUUGACACUGAACAUUGAGCCUUGAUGUGUAGGAUAGGUGGGAGGCUUUGAAGCGUGGACGCCAGUCUGCGUGGAGCCAACCUUGAAAUACCACCCUUUAAUGUUUGAUGUUCUAACGUGGGCCCCUGACCGGGGUUGCGGACAGUGUCUGGUGGGUAGUUUGACUGGGGCGGUCUCCUCCCAAAGCGUAACGGAGGAGCACGAAGGUUAGCUAAUCCUGGUCGGACAUCAGGAGGUUAGUGCAAUGGCAUAAGCUAGCUUGACUGCGAGCGUGACGGCGCGAGCAGGUGCGAAAGCAGGUCAUAGUGAUCCGGUGGUUCUGAAUGGAAGGGCCAUCGCUCAACGGAUAAAAGGUACUCCGGGGAUAACAGGCUGAUACCGCCCAAGAGUUCAUAUCGACGGCGGUGUUUGGCACCUCGAUGUCGGCUCAUCACAUCCUGGGGCUGAAGUAGGUCCCAAGGGUAUGGCUGUUCGCCAUUUAAAGUGGUACGCGAGCUGGGUUUAGAACGUCGUGAGACAGUUCGGUCCCUAUCUGCCGUGGGCGCUGGAGAAUUGAGGGGGGCUGCUCCUAGUACGAGAGGACCGGAGUGGACGCAUCACUGGUGUUCGGGUUGUCAUGCCAAUGGCACUGCCCGGUAGCUAAAUGCGGAAGAGAUAAGUGCUGAAAGCAUCUAAGCACGAAACUUGCCCCGAGAUGAGUUCUCCCUGAGACUAUAAGUCUCCUGAAGGAACGUUGAAGACGACGACGUUGAUAGGCCGGGUGUGUAAGCGCAGCGAUGCGUUGAGCUAACCGGUACUAAUGAACCGUGAGGCUUAACCUUACAACGCCGAAG
RNAcentral lists this ribosomal RNA (2923 nucleotides) under Klebsiella quasipneumoniae. Its description in RNAcentral is "bacterial LSU rRNA". It matches the Rfam family "Bacterial large subunit ribosomal RNA". Lineage: Bacteria; Pseudomonadati; Pseudomonadota; Gammaproteobacteria; Enterobacterales; Enterobacteriaceae. The record is from RNAcentral.